This 301-nucleotide ribosomal RNA is filed under the name uncultured bacterium. Its description in RNAcentral is "partial 16S ribosomal RNA". It matches the Rfam family "Bacterial small subunit ribosomal RNA", at positions 509 to 809 of the family's 1533-position model. The record is from RNAcentral.
CAGCCGCCGCGGGAAUACGGAGGAUCCAAGCGUUAUCCGGAAUCAUUGGGUUUAAAGGGUCCGUAGGCGGUCUUGUAAGUCAGUGGUGAAAGCCCAUCGCUCAACGGUGGAACGGCCAUUGAUACUGCAGGACUUGAAUUAUUGGGAAGUAACUAGAAUAUGUAGUGUAGCGGUGAAAUGCUUAGAGAUUACAUGGAAUACCAAUUGCGAAGGCAGGUUACUACCAAUUGAUUGACGCUGAUGGACGAAAGCGUGGGUAGCGAACAGGAUUAGAUACCCGUGUAGUCCCUGUCUCUUAUAU